UUUGAUCCUGGCUCAGGAUGAACGCUGGCGGCGUGCUUAACACAUGCAAGUCGAACGAUGAUGCUGGUGCUUGCACUGGUGGAUUAGUGGCGAACGGGUGAGUAUCACGUGAGUAACCUUCCCUUGACUCUGGGAUAAGCCCGGGAAACUGGGUCUAAUACCGGAUAUGACUGGUCUCCGCAUGGGGGCUGGUGGAAAGCUCUUGCGGUUUUGGAUGGACUCGCGGCCUAUCAGUUUGUUGGUGAGGUAAUGGCUUACCAAGACGAUGACGGGUAGCCGGCCUGAGAGGGUGACCGGCCACACUGGGACUGAGACACGGCCCAGACUCCUACGGGAGGCAGCAGUGGGGUUUAUUGCACAAUGGGCGCAAGCCUGAUGCAGCGACGCCGCGUGCGGGAUGACGGCCUUCGGGUUGUAAACCGCUUUCAGCAAGGAAGAAGCUUUUUGUGACGGUACUUGCAGAAGAAGCGCCGGCUAACUACGUGCCAGCAGCCGCGGUAAUACGUAGGGCGCGAGCGUUAUCCGGAAUUAUUGGGCGUAAAGAGCUCGUAGGCGGUUUGCCACGUCUGCUGUGAAAGCCCGGGGCUCAACCUCGGGUGUGCAGUGGGUACGGGUAGGCUGGAGUGCAGUAGGGGAGACUGGAAUUCCUGGUGUAGCGGUGAAAUGGGCAGAUAUCAGGAGGAACACCGAUGGCGAAGGCAGGUCUCUGGGCUGUUACUGACGCUGAGGAGCGAAAGCAUGGGGAGCGAACAGGAUUAGAUACCCUGGUAGUCCAUGCCGUAAACGUUGGGCACUAGGUGUGGGGGACAUUCCACGUUUUCCGCGCCGUAGCUAACGCAUUAAGUGCCCCCGCCUGGGGGAGUACG
RNAcentral lists this ribosomal RNA (866 nucleotides) under uncultured Nesterenkonia sp. RNAcentral's name for it is "bacterial SSU rRNA". It matches the Rfam family "Bacterial small subunit ribosomal RNA", at positions 12 to 884 of the family's 1533-position model. The record is from RNAcentral. Lineage: Bacteria; Bacillati; Actinomycetota; Actinomycetes; Micrococcales; Micrococcaceae.